Long non-coding RNA from Panicum virgatum (switchgrass), 1318 nucleotides. RefSeq lists it as uncharacterized. The record is from RefSeq and is a predicted model, not a curated record. The transcript is spliced from 5 exons. NCBI's taxonomy places the organism in Eukaryota, Viridiplantae, Streptophyta, Magnoliopsida, Poales, Poaceae.
UUCUCACCGAGUCGUUCUCAGACAUGUUCAUUUCGUUCUCAUCCUCUCUCUAGGGCUCCUUUCUCUCCCCAUGCGUUCAGCUGCAACGCUCGCAUCCCCCUCGCCGGCGGCGUGCACUCCCGGAUGCUGCCCCCCCCCCCCCACGACGGUAUAGGGAUCGGCGGCGCAAAUUAGGCCCAGGUGAGAGAUUCCCGCUUCUCGCACCUUGGAACAUCCAUGUUUCCGCAUCGACUUUGACUGCAUUUUCGUGUUGGGUGGAGAUCAUCAGUUCGCAUGUGGGAUCCGAAGAGGGCAUCUGCUGUGGUUGAUUUAGACAGGUCUUGGCGUUCAGAGUGCGCCCGACGGCGGCGCCAGUGCAGAAAGAACCCGUGCUGGGGUUCAGCUUCGCCGGGUGGCUGCAGCGCGGGGUUUCACUGAUCAAGGCGGAUAGCACAGGCUCGUCUUCUGGCUCUGACAAAGAUAUGAGCUGAGUUGGAGAAGAAAUUAAAGAGGGCACGAGUUUGUGCAAUCAGCUGCUGUCUAGUGAUUGCAGAUUUAGAAACUGACAUAUCUGACAUCUCUUGAUUAUUAAUCUGCUCUUUGAUCAACUAAAAAUAGAGUAAUGUGAUGCUCUAAUUUUGUGCAUACGUGCACAAAUAUUCUAAUAGAGGUGCUUCUAUUGUUUCAUCUACAGGGAAGGAGGCUGCCCAAAUGAUUUGUGAAUAUCUAAAGGACGAACCAUGGUUUACAUUACUCUGCCAGAGGAUGCAGUAAGACUUGAUUCACUCUUAGAUUUUUAAAAAACAACAUUUCUUUGCUUGUCCAUACUCAAGCUCCUGAAAAAACUAAUUUUGCUACAGACAAAAUAUGAAUGAGCUCAUACAAUGGUGUAACAGUCAAAACCAGUGAUGCUUAACUUUACACUUUUCACCUAUCUGCUCUAGGGCAACAGCAAUAACAACAGCUCAAUUCCUCUUGUUUGAUUGAGUAGCAGCAGCCGCGGGAGUUGUUUUGUCUCUGCAACAACAACAAUGGCUAUCAUCAUCAACUUGGGUAGUAAAAUGCUACUUCAACGUGGAUAAGAGGAGCAAUUAAACAAUGAUGAGAUGAUAACCACUUUACGUGGUCUGUGAAGCAAAAUGCCACUUUUUGUAGGGAUUUCAUCUCGAUUUGCCCUGUUUCGACGAAGCAACAAUGUUGUUUUGAAUCAUGUUCAUUAUUUUCUUGUACACUUAUUGUAAAUUGCUUAUGACUUAUUAUAAUAUGCUUUCAACCUUUAACAAAAAUGCUUCUCAGCGUAAAGAGAGCGAAACAUAUUGAAGUGAGAUCUUAUUUUAAA